This 373-nucleotide ribosomal RNA is filed under the name uncultured organism. RNAcentral describes it as "partial 16S ribosomal RNA". It matches the Rfam family "Bacterial small subunit ribosomal RNA", at positions 527 to 896 of the family's 1533-position model. The record is from RNAcentral.
GUAGGGUGCGAGCGUUAAUCGGAAUUACCGGGGCGUAAAGCGUGCGCAGGCGGUUGUGCAAGACAGAUGUGAAAUCCCCCGGGGCUCAACCUGGGGAAUUGCAUUUGUGACUGCACGGCUAGAGUGUGUCAGAGGGGGGUAGAAUUCCACGUGUAGCAGUGAAAUGCGUAGAGAUGUGGAGGAAUACCGAUGGCGAAGGCAGCCCCCUGGGAUAACACUGACGCUCAUGCACGAAAGCGUGGGGAGCAAACAGGAUUAGAUACCCUGGUAGUCCACGCCCUAAACGAUGUCAACUAGUUGUCGGGUCUUAAUUGACUUGGUAACGCAGCUAACGCGCGAAGUUGACCGCCUGGGGAGUACGGUCGCAAGAUUA